CAGCAGCCGCGGGAAUACGAAGGGGGCUAGCGUUGCUCGGAAUCACUGGGCGUAAAGGGUGCGUAGGCGGGUCUUUAAGUCAGGGGUGAAAUCCUGGAGCUCAACUCCAGAACUGCCUUCGAUACUGGCGAUCUUGAGUCCGGAAGAGGUGAGUGGAACUCCUAGUGUAGAGGUGGAAUUCGUAGAUAUUAGGAAGAACACCAGUGGCGAAGGCGGCUCACUGGUCCGGUACUGACGCAGAGGUGCGAAAGCGUGGGGAGCAAACAGGAUUAGAUACCCCCGUAGUCCCUGUCUCUUAUAC
This 301-nucleotide ribosomal RNA is filed under the name uncultured bacterium. RNAcentral describes it as "partial 16S ribosomal RNA". It matches the Rfam family "Bacterial small subunit ribosomal RNA", at positions 509 to 807 of the family's 1533-position model. The record is from RNAcentral.